Molecule: long non-coding RNA, 1945 nt
Organism: Neopsephotus bourkii (Bourke's parrot)
Lineage: Eukaryota; Metazoa; Chordata; Aves; Psittaciformes; Psittacidae
Exons: 3
Source: RefSeq, a predicted model, not a curated record
CAGGUGGCUCUCAUGGGCUGCUGAUUGCCUUUGCUUUAUUCAGAUUGCUGGAUACUGAAUAUACCCUGAAUCAACAGUGUCAUCUGUAAAGCUCCAGGCAAUCUGGGAAUGGACAAGCAACACAAACUCCUCCACACUUGCAUUCUGAAACGUCAGUGGCAGCAACGAGGUUUCUAGGAAUGCUCCUGAAAUCACAGUCGUUUCAUGCAAGGAACCAACAGGAAUUAAUGGCAGAACUUGGACUUUAAUGCUGUCACAUGUACCCUCCCUACAGUCCACUGAUGAGGGGUGGCAAAUAUAGGAUAGACUCCUUCAAACAACACGUGGGCCCUCCAGUGGUGCUCACCAUGUCUCUGCGCCAAAGAAGGUAGGAAAACAGUGGUCCAAGAAGUAAUGUGAAGGAAGCAAAGCUAGGCUGGUGCUUUAUAGAGUCCCCAGCAAGUUACUCAGGAAGUGUCACCAUAAAGAGAGCUCUCUUGCUGCCCCAACACGAGUUGAUGGAGCUCGUGCUCUUGGCUAACAGAGCUCUCUACCCAUUAUACAAGAUAGUAGGGACCUGGCGUGGACCUCUAGGGUGCUGAUGUAGCAGAAAAUGAGCAGAAGAAACAAAGGGCUGAGACCAACAUUGCUGCUAUAAAGAUGCAAUAUUGUCCUAUUAUGGGACAGAGCUAGGUAUAUAAUACAGUGACCAAGAUUUGCUGCCUCUGCUUCCAGGAAAACAAGCUCUAACUUUAAGGCAAUGGGAAGAAAAAGAUGUUUUAGACUGCUGUGGCUUACGUCCUUCCACACCUCUGCUCCCCAUCUAUAUCCUUGGGGGGGGACACAUGACAGGCUUCAGUCUGUUUGCACCUCUUUUACUUUCUUCUGUUGUCCUGCUGAGUGAGCAAGGACAGGGGGAGCACAGAAACGAAGCCAUGGGUUUAAGUCAGGACUGAAAUCUUAUUUGAAAGGAUUUGCUCGCCGUUUCAUUUUUUGUUCAAUGUAUUUUUAUUAACAAGUCUAUUCAAUCAGAACUGCAACUCGCUGCCUCCUGCGCCUGGAAGGAUCUGUUCUCAAUGUAAUUUGUCAGCUGGAUUCCUUCCCAGUCAUGCUGCUGGUUUUCCUCAGCUCAUUCUGAAUCCCCCUUUUCUCAUCAAAAGCAGAUACUUCCUAUUGUGGGGCACAGGGACACCAAUCAUCAUUUCUGUCCCAGGCACACACAGACAUACAUAUAUAUGUAUACACACGUCCCCCUCUUCUUUCUUUCUUUUCUUUCUUCUGGUCUCAGCUUUUAAUUGAGUUUACAGUUACUCCCUGACAACGUAAGACAUGAAAUUACAAUCCCAUCAUCUACUUCACAGCAACCGGUUGGGAAUGUUGUCUACAUGGGCAGUUCCCAGCUAUUACGGGUGUAGCAACAAUGGCAGCAGGAGGAUGCAAUGGUAGCUUUUGUUUUAUCCCCCAAGAUGUGAGGACUGAGGGAGUUUCUGCCCCUAGAUAUGUAGAGGGGAGACCACCCUGUGGAGCACCCAUCUUUGUAAGAGGAAAUGGGAGCUGAUCUGAAAGACAGAGCUUUUAGCAGGAGUGAUGUAUUGAAACUGCUGUUUGGAGCUACAGGAUAAGGGGGAAAAGCCCAAGCAACGUAAUGACUGCUGCUCUUUGCUGUGCAAUAGGAAGGUUGUUAGGAGGAGGGCAGUAUAAAACCAUGUCUAGUAUAGAUGCCCAAAGCCUUGUUAUCCUGUGCUUAUCCAUCAUUCCUAGGGUCCUGUUUAAGCAGCAGCAAGACAUAUGGCACCCCUGUCACCAUGCUGAUGGCAACAUAAAUAUAGUCCUGAAGAUACAUAGAGGAGACUAGUGCCUUGCUGAUUUUAUUUCCAACAUCCAGCCCUUGAAGCCUCCACUGUUUCCUGGGUUUAGGGGUUUUGUGAUGACUGCAGACAGGGGAGCUUUAAGAACUGGCAGUUUU